RNAcentral lists this small RNA (269 nucleotides) under Rickettsia prowazekii. RNAcentral describes it as "partial sR64 non-coding RNA". The record is from RNAcentral. Lineage: Bacteria; Pseudomonadati; Pseudomonadota; Alphaproteobacteria; Rickettsiales; Rickettsiaceae.
UGUCUUGAAAUAAACUAGCAGUCAGUCUUAUGAUUUUGAAGGGUUUUAUUUUAAAAUGAUUAUGCAAAAUUUUUUUAUCUAAAUAAAAUUAUAUAACAAUUUUCCUUUGACUUUCUUUACAUCUUGAAUUUUUUAGAAAAAUGAUUUACAUAAGGAAGAUAAAAAUACUUAAUAUAUUAAGAUCUUUAUAGAGUUUUAGUAGUAAUAUUUAAGAGAUUGUUAUAAUACUAAAGCCAUGAUUUCUAAAAAUAGAUAACGUAAUAUAUUAU